UAGUAAAUAGGAGAUAGUUCCAAACAACUAUUUUAAAAGGGUGAUUUCCUAUUUCCUUCAUUAUUUUUGUUUAUGACAAUGGUCUGGGGAGUAUGAUAUGCAAUAAUGAGGAACUGGAAUAAUUCAAAAUAAAGAAAUCAAUGAUCUUUUAGUGGCCACCAUGUUGUAAUUAAUAUUCACAAGUAGAAUAACAAUAGGUAGUCCAAGCAAAAGGUGCAUUUAAGGUGAUAGCUUUCUCCAUCGCCUUAACACUAUGUUUGGAUGGGAGGAAAGAAAAUAAUGGGAGGAAAAUAAAAGAAGAUAAUGAUUAGGAAGAAAAAUAACCUUUUCAUUUUAUGUUUGGAUUAGAAGGGAAAAUAUUGAGCGAAAAGUUACUUUUUUAAAUAAUAAAAUUACAAUAUUACCCUUAGAUGUUCAAAAAGAACUUAAAAAAAUAUAGGAAUAUUUUUGUAAUUUCAAACAUUUUCUUUCCCCUUUUCCCCCAAUUUGAAGAGAAAAUGGGAGUGGAAUCUAAUUUUUAUUUCCUUUCAAAAUUUUCUUUCCUUUUUCCUUUUAACUA
This 559-nucleotide unclassified non-coding RNA is filed under the name Hevea brasiliensis (rubber tree). Lineage: Eukaryota; Viridiplantae; Streptophyta; Magnoliopsida; Malpighiales; Euphorbiaceae. The record is from RNAcentral.